GAUGAACGCUGGCGGCGUGCCUAAUACAUGCAGUAGAACGCUGAAGGAAGGAGCUUGCUCUUUCCGGAUGAGUUGCGAACGGGUGAGUAACGCGUAGGUAACCUGCCUGGUAGCGGGGGAUAACUAUUGGAAACGAUAGCUAAUACCGCAUAACAGUAGAUGUUGCAUGACAACUAUUUGAAAGGGGCAAUUGCUCCACUACCAGAUGGACCUGCGUUGUAUUAGCUAGUUGGUGAGGUAACGGCUCACCAAGGCGACGAUACAUAGCCGACCUGAGAGGGUGAUCGGCCACACUGGGACUGAGACACGGCCCAGACUCCUACGGGAGGCAGCAGUAGGGAAUCUUCGGCAAUGGACGGAAGUCUGACCGAGCAACGCCGCGUGAGUGAAGAAGGUUUUCGGAUCGUAAAGCUCUGUUGUAAGAGAAGAACGAGUGUGAGAGUGGAAAGUUCACACUGUGACGGUAUCUUACCAGAAAGGGACGGCUAACUACGUG
This 496-nucleotide ribosomal RNA is filed under the name uncultured bacterium. RNAcentral's name for it is "partial 16S ribosomal RNA". It matches the Rfam family "Bacterial small subunit ribosomal RNA", at positions 28 to 507 of the family's 1533-position model. The record is from RNAcentral.